This 274-nucleotide long non-coding RNA is filed under the name Nicotiana tabacum (common tobacco). RNAcentral's name for it is "long non-coding RNA (NTAB_LNC010792)". Lineage: Eukaryota; Viridiplantae; Streptophyta; Magnoliopsida; Solanales; Solanaceae. The record is from RNAcentral.
CUAAUCCCUGUCUCCAUCUGCAUUUUGCAUAAGGCUACUUUUCUGCCUUCCGAGGUUAAGCUCUACCUCCAUCAUCAUCUGCAUAAGGCUACUUUUCUGCUUUCCGAGGUUAAGCUCUACCUCCAUCAUCAUCUGCAUAAGGCUACUUAUCUGCCUUUCGAGACUAAGCCCUGUCUCCAUCUGCAUUUUGCAUAAGGCUACUUUUCUGCCUUCCGAGGUUAAGCUCUACCUCCAUCAUCAUCUGCAUAAGGCUACUUAUCUGCCUUUCGAGUCU